Molecule: transfer RNA, 68 nt
Filed under: Cranuca inversa
Lineage: Eukaryota; Metazoa; Arthropoda; Malacostraca; Decapoda; Ocypodidae
Description: tRNA-Ser
Source: RNAcentral
GAUUAUUUAGUUUAAAUUAAAACAAAUGUUUUGAAAACAUAAAAUAAGAAAAUAUUUCUUAAUAAUUG